CCCAAAAUAGAGAAGAUGUCAACCGCAGGUGUUCUCACGGUCUUAACCAAUCAGAGUGCACUGCCUGAAUUAGCACUCGUACAAGGAGAAACAAAUAUGGCAGAGGAGUUCCAAAUUGAGAGUAUUAGUGAUGAGGCAGGCAGUCAGAGCAGUCAAGAACUAGAUGGCCCAGUGGUACAAGGCUUGGAAGAGGUGGGAGAUCAGGAAGAUUGACCCAAGAACAUGAAGAGAGAAUUCAGUAUCUCAGAGAAGAGAACUUGGGGGCAUGCAUGAUGGUGUUGACAGAAAUCCUGCCCCUGCACUGGAUAUAUGGAUGCUUCUGCCAGAAAAUUUUACAAGGAAUUACCCAGCACAGUGGAGAUGGGAAUGUGCAAUCUCCCACUCACUAUAAUGUCCCCUACAUUUUGACUGCUGGUAAAUCUGCUUGAUUACUUCUCUCUGAAGAAAAUCACAGAAAAACUAUUACCUUGAGUAUCUGUUUACAGACCAAACAUUCUUUUUAUAGUUUAUUUUAUAUGACUUUCAAAUUCCUUGUGGAUAUUCACUUUCCAAUAUUAAAAUCUAGUAGAAAAAAAAGUUGUUUAUUACUUGUAAUUUAGAACAUGCAUAAUUAUGUUUUUUAAGGUAUCUUUCAAGACUUAUUAAAUGGGUUGAUUAGUUGUUCUAUAACAUGCAUUCCAAGUAGGAUUUAAUCAUCAGUUUUCCAUUCUUAUUUUAACAAAGCUUGAGUUAAUAAGACCUGUUUUAUGCAAGUCGUUGAGUUAAAAGAUUCUUUUCAUUCUACUGUAAUCUGUGCAACAAUUCAGUAAAUGUAGAAAAUAAAGGUAUGGAAAAAUAA
This is a long non-coding RNA of Lingula anatina, 838 nucleotides long. The record is from RefSeq and is a predicted model, not a curated record. NCBI's taxonomy places the organism in Eukaryota, Metazoa, Brachiopoda, Lingulata, Lingulida, Lingulidae.